GUGAAUCAUCGAAUUUUUGAACGCAAAUUGCGCCUUUUUCGGAAGGCACGUCUGUUUGAGGGCACCAUUUAACAAAUAAUGUGCAGCGUUUUUUGUUGCACACGUUUAUGAGCUUUCCAAGAAUUUUAAAUUUUUGGUGGCGCAAAUGAACAGCGUGAAAGUUUUUUUCAGUUUGAUUGUAAUAAAAUCUUUGCUUUGGUUGUGAAAAAACAUAAUCGCGCAAUUUGGUUGGCAAUUUCUUUUUAACCCUUCCCCAAAUCCCC
RNAcentral lists this unclassified non-coding RNA (263 nucleotides) under Paraglomerales sp. Its description in RNAcentral is "partial contains 5.8S ribosomal RNA and internal transcribed spacer 2". The stretch from base 1 to 65 matches the Rfam family "5.8S ribosomal RNA", at positions 84 to 154 of the family's 154-position model. Lineage: Eukaryota; Fungi; Glomeromycota; Glomeromycetes; Paraglomerales. The record is from RNAcentral.